UCUCUAAGAACUAAAUCCAAAUGAUGAUCGCAAAGGAUAGAUACCCAUGGCUGCAACAGCAACUGUUGCCCUAUAGCCAAUUUAAGGAUUACUUUCUCAGCCCUCUAUCUUCCCAUCGACUCUACACUAGAGUCCAUAGCUCAACUGGGAGAAGAGAAAAUCGUAAGGAUAAUAUUGAGUAAUCUUGACAUGCCUACUAUAGGCGUGUCUUUGUUUCUUUAGGCUCUCCAGGUAUUUACCUCUGAACUCUUUCAAGAUUUUUUUGUUAGUAACACUUUGACCAAGUCAGAUAAGGUGCCAUGAUGAUUUUUUAUAUGGUACCUUACCACAAACUAUCCAUAUAAACUAAUCAGAGAUCGCAGGAUCAAAUUCAUAAGUAAUUCUUUGUGCAUGAUCAUGUCGAGCCUUUCAAGCUCCUUAAUGUCCUUAAUCAUUAUCAAAUAACAAUCAUAGUAGGAUUGCUUAAUCUAAUCAUCUUCAACCACCAACCUACUUCUGAAGGAUCCAAUUGUUUGCCUUCACCUUAACCAUCUUCUCUCCGAUCUCUUGCAAAACCAAAUAGAGCAUCUCCAUGUGAUGUUGAAGGCAUUCUUCCUAUUGAGAGUCCAUGAAGAUACUAUCCUAUGAAGAGGAAAAAGGAAGAUUAGUGAAAGGAUUAAUCUCCUAAGAAGAAAGGAAAGAGAAAAAGUUAUAAAACUACCACCUAAAGAUGACUCAGGAUGAUUUGAUGAUUAAGCUGUGCAAAAGUCACUUGGUCUAAUAGAAAGAACAUUCUAAAUCUCCCCAGAUAUGGUGGAUUUAUUAGGACCUUCAACUUUUAUUGUGCUCUAAAUGGUUUGGAUCAAUCCAGCUAGUUAUCUCAUUUGAAUUAGUAGACACAUGGCACAUCUGCUCCACUUCCAAUGAUCAAUAUUGCCUCAGAAGACAGAGUGUCAAGACUUGUCCUUCAAGGGACCACCACUCAUUAGUUAAUAUCCUCUUCAAAAUAGUAUAGAGUCUAAUUAAAUGGUUUCUUCCUUCAUCCGAGCUAAGAAAGAUGUUUCGGACUUGGAAGUAGAGAGCCAAUGAUGGGGCAAUACAUGACCUAAGUGAUGUGGAGUGUUCAGAUUCAUCAAGCUCAUAAUCUACAUAGCGACUCAGGCCUACUUAGAGAUUCUCUAAGGCAUACUUGGCUGGGACCUUCUUGCUGACCCGAGAGUUGGGAUGAGCAAACCAGCAAUAGCCGACCACUAGUGGUGAAGCCUCAUAAUGUGGCCCUGUGACCAAUUAACUCGGCAAUCAACCCUAGUUGAAUAGGUCCUUCCCGUGGCAAAGGCAUCUCGACCUUUUUGUCCAAAUGCAUACGAGGUUCAUGCAAUUUCAUCGCAUGUCAGAUGGUUACGAUAUGUCUCGAGGUGGUAAUGCU
This 1405-nucleotide long non-coding RNA is filed under the name Elaeis guineensis (African oil palm). RNAcentral describes it as "long non-coding RNA (EGUI_LNC034664)". The record is from RNAcentral. Lineage: Eukaryota; Viridiplantae; Streptophyta; Magnoliopsida; Arecales; Arecaceae.